GCUCCUUCCCGCCGUUCUCAUCCCAUUUCUGCUUUCCCUUCACCGGUCCUCGUUAUAGGUCUUCUUGCUGUGCUUUAUUUGGGGAUUCUUUCCAUCGUUGCGGUAUGUCGGAUGCGUAUCAGAAAUUCCGGUUGCUAACGGCGCUUUCUUUACGCGGAAAUCCAAAUUCAGGUUCGUGUCUUGUACAAUUCCAGUCGCCGUUCGUUCUGAUUGGAAUCUGUGUUUACAGUGAUCGGGACCGGUUUUUGCGGCGUUGAAUAACGUCAUACGUAACUAAAGGAUUCUCACCGGAUGUUCUAGGUUUUCUGCGUUGAUGUUCCCAAUCGGAAUGGAUUCCUAAUUCUAGACGGCUGUAGAGCUUCUAUGUUAAAGCGAGGAGAGAACGAUCCGUCGCGUUCGCUCCAACGCUGGGAGAUGUUCGGCAGCUGCAUCCAAGGAAGGUUGAUUUGAUUAGUGUGUCAUGGAUGUAUAAGAUAUCAGGACGAAACCUCCCUAUAUUGGUAGGGAGGCGGUUUCUGGUCGAUCUUUGUCAUCCGACCUUUGCCAUGACAGGUGCGCUUGCAUGGCAGGUCAACUACGUUAAUGGAAAAAAAGAUUUUUGGGUUUAGAGGAGGGAUCGCACGGGAAUUGCCCGGGAUUCCUCCUCUCUGGUGUGUUCCGAUUCCCUUUCUCUUUAUUUCUGUGCUUAUUAUGCGUAGCUGCCGUCAACUGCUUGCAUGCUCGAUCGCUCUCGCUCAACCGUGCUCCUUUCUAAGGUCCGAAAGGUAUUAACAAUUUCUUUGAUUUCAAUCAAUUCAUAGAUAAACGUGUAAGGAAGGUUGAAGCAACCGCGUUUGUAAGAGUAAUACGUGAGCUAAGACUAAUCUUCAUUAAUCUAGCCGGUAUACAAUCUUAAUUUGCUUAAUAGGAUCCCUUCGCUAAUAUUCAUACAGCUGUACAGUAAAGUUUCAUUUGGUUAUAUAGGCUUGAGGGUAAUUUGACCGAGAUUUGUCAUGUCAACUACUAAUUUUUUUAAUCUCUUAUUAGAAUUAUCAUUCGCACAACGCUUGGAAGAUAUCGAUUUCAUAGCUUUGUAUUAGUCGUCGUCUCCUCUCGGGAAGCUCGAUCAUGGAAAAUUAAUAAUUUAUUUGUUAGGCCGGACCAAAAUAAUACAAGUUAUUUUGAUUUCCCAUUCAAGUUCUGUGUUCAUUUUAUUCAAAGAAUGACAAGAGUACCCUGGGUUGAGGCUUCUUUUUAUGUGCGCCGUAUGAUGGUCGGGGUCUAAGUCUGUAUAUGAUACUCAACAUUUUAUUAUCGUCACAUUGUAAAACACAUAGAGAAAUGGAACAUGCAUAAAGGAAACUAAUUUGGUUCGGGUCGGAUCAAAGGAUGAUAUGAACUUCGCCAUGGAUGAGCUGUUGGAUCUGCUGAUUUUUGUCAAAGUGCUGUGUCGUCCCAAGAGUAAUCUGACCGUGUGGGUAACUUAAUUUCUUAUAUUCUUGCUUAAUUUAGCACAACAUCUCGAAAUUUUAAGCCGUCUUCCCAUUUGUUAUGAACUGAUGUUCUCUGUAUUCCACUUCCACGCUGCAAUUGUUUCGCGUGUUCUAUUUUGGUGUAACAGUACUGGAUUUUUGCAAUGGUAUGAUGAUCAUUACUGUUAUGUAACUUGCAACAGAAUACAUUGUGGCUGGCUGUGUUUUAGGUAGCCCUGGUUUUUCAGAGGAUGACGGUAUCUAUACUAAUGAGCGACUGCAAUAGAAUGGAAGUCUGUUCGUGUUUUUGGAAUUUUGCUUAGUGACCGGCUGUAAGAUAAUGUAUGUCCUACAUUUUUGCAUUUAUGGUAAUGUCUUCUCGGAUGUUAGAAAUGAAAUAUUAUUCAAGUUCAGGUUUCGUCUUUGUCGUUUGUUCAUAUGUGAGUUUGGUCUGUCUAUUUUCCAUUUAUAUUAGUCCUCUGUUUUCAGAUUGUCGUGUGCCAACAAGAUACUCCGUACCCGUGUCUCUCUAUUUAUGUUGAUUUACAGGUGUUGGUGUGUGCUGAUAAUGAGCUUCAAAGAGUUUAAAUGUCAUAUUCUUUUAAGACAAUGAAAGUCAUUUAGAGAAACAUAUGUGUUGGUGUGUGCUGAUAAUGAGCUUCAAAGAGUUUAAAUGUCAUAUUCUUUUAAGACAAUGAAAAUCAUUUAGAGAAACAUAUCCAGGUGAUGGCCCUUGCUAGUGGGGAAGAUACAUGGAAAUGACCCGUAGCUCAAUGAUGGUAGAGCAAUCAAUAAGGUAAGAGGGAGGUUAGUGGAUCGAAUCUAUUUGGAUCGAAUAUUUAUGGGUUCAUUCAGUAGAUGCCAUUUGGCCAUGCCACUUAAGGAACCUAUUGGGUCCUUAGUAUGCGGCCACGAGGAGGUCAAGUGCUGCUAAAGCCGAGAUGAGGGGACGCAUGAGCUCGACUAUCAAGCCGACCUAACUGUGGGACAAAACUAAGAGUAUUCGAUGUUGAUCAGGUAUGAAUAAACGACAGAAAGGCUCAUACAUACUUUCUUGUAAAAGGAGACCCACAUAAAGGUAACAAAAACUAAACAUUUGAGUGUGUUGGAUGUGAGUAUUUAUAUAGCAGAAAGGAAAUGUUUGGAUCAUGUCUAUGUAUCUGUUAUGGAUUGAUCAACUCAAUAUAGAAGCAGGAAUGCAAAAAUUUUGCCUGCCAUUGUCAA
Molecule: non-coding RNA, 2675 nt
Organism: Cucurbita pepo subsp. pepo (vegetable marrow)
Lineage: Eukaryota; Viridiplantae; Streptophyta; Magnoliopsida; Cucurbitales; Cucurbitaceae
Source: RefSeq, a predicted model, not a curated record